This 69-nucleotide transfer RNA is filed under the name Heterobothrium okamotoi. RNAcentral describes it as "tRNA-Tyr". It matches the Rfam family "tRNA". From Rfam's summary of the family: Transfer RNA (tRNA) molecules are approximately 80 nucleotides in length. Their secondary structure includes four short double-helical elements and three loops (D, anti-codon, and T loops). Further hydrogen bonds mediate the characteristic L-shaped molecular structure. tRNAs have two regions of fundamental functional importance: the anti-codon, which is responsible for specific mRNA codon recognition, and the 3' end, to which the tRNAs corresponding amino acid is attached (by aminoacyl-tRNA synthetases). tRNAs cope with the degeneracy of the genetic code in two manners: having more than one tRNA (with a specific anti-codon) for a particular amino acid; and 'wobble' base-pairing, i.e. permitting non-standard base-pairing at the 3rd anti-codon position. Lineage: Eukaryota; Metazoa; Platyhelminthes; Monogenea; Mazocraeidea; Diclidophoridae. The record is from RNAcentral.
UACCAGCUUAGCAUAAAGUUAAAUGCUUUGGAUUGUAGCUUCAAAUAUAGGGAUUACCUAGUUGGGAAC